This 1327-nucleotide ribosomal RNA is filed under the name wastewater metagenome. Its description in RNAcentral is "bacterial LSU rRNA". It matches the Rfam family "Bacterial large subunit ribosomal RNA", at positions 804 to 2132 of the family's 2925-position model. The record is from RNAcentral.
AUGAGCUGUGGUAAGGGGUGAAAGGCUAAACAAAACUGGAAAUAGCUGGCACUCCCCGAAAUGCCUUGAGGGACAGCCUCAUACGCCUAUCAUGGAGGUAGAGCACUGUUUGGACUAGGGGUCUUCACCGGCUACCAAACCCAGGCAAACUGCGAAUGCCAUGACAGAAGGUAUGGGAGUGAGACGGCGGGCGAUAAAGUUCGUCGUCGAGAGGGGAACAGCCCGGACCGACAGCUAAGGUCCCUAAAUGCCGCUGAGUGUGAAAUGAGGUGCGAUUGCGAAGACAGCCAGGAGGUUGGCUUAGAAGCAGCAAUUCCUUAAAAGAGUGCGUAACAGCUCACUGGUCGAGCAAUGGUGCGCAGACAAUGUAACGGGGCUAAGCGGUAUACCGAAGCUUUGGAUUCAUACUUUUAGGGUAUGGAUGGUAGGGGAGCAUUCCAUGGACCGGAGAAGGUACACUGAGAGGUGUGCUGGAGGGGAUGGAAGAGAGAAUGCAGGUAUAAGUACACGAAAAGACGGGUGAGAUUCCCGUCCGCCGGAAACCUAAGGUUUCCUGGGUAAAGGUCAUCUGCCCAGGGUUAGUCGGUCUCUAAGAUGAGGCGGAAGCGCGUAGUCGAUGAGAAUCCGGUUCAUAUUCCGGAACCAUAUAUAAGAACGAAGGGAUGACGCAUGAGGUGGAGCACUGCCGGCUGACGGAAUAGCCGGUUGACCUAGCGAGCUUAAGAGGUAGCGAGGCAAAUCCAGCUACUGAGGUGAGCUAGGGAGGGAGGGAAGCUACGGUGGAACGAAGUGUGCCGAAUCAAGGUGCCAAGAAAGAGUCUCUAAGGCUAACUUAUAUAUGACCGUACCGUAAACGGACACACGUAGGUAGGAUGAGAAAUCUAAGGCGCUCGAGAGAACUCGCGUUAAGGAACUCGGCAAAAUGCACACGUAACUUAGGGAGAAGUGUGGCCUAUUGAGAGAUAGGUUGCAGAAAAUAGGCCCAGGCGACUGUUUACCAAAAACACAGGACUCUGCGAACGCGCAAGCGGAAGUAUAGGGUCUGACGCCUGCCCGGUGCUGGAAGGUUAAGAGGAGGGGUUAGCAGGUAACUGCGAAGCUCUGAAUUGAAGCCCCAGUAAACGGCGGCCGUAACUAUAACGGUCCUAAGGUAGCGAAAUUCCUUGUCGGGUAAGUUCCGACCCGCACGAAUGGCGUAACGAUGGCCACACUGUCUCCUCCUGAGACUCAGCGAAGUUGAAAUGUUUGUGAAGAUGCAAUCUCCCCGCGGCUAGACGGAAAGACCCCAUGAACCUUUACUGUAGCUUUGCAUUGGACUUUGAACCGG